RNAcentral lists this ribosomal RNA (424 nucleotides) under uncultured bacterium. RNAcentral's name for it is "bacterial SSU rRNA". It matches the Rfam family "Bacterial small subunit ribosomal RNA", at positions 202 to 622 of the family's 1533-position model. The record is from RNAcentral.
AAAGACCUCGCGUUAUUGGAGCGGCCGAUAUCUGAUUAGCUAGUUGGUGGGGUAAAGGCUCACCAAGGCGACGAUCAGUAGCUGGUCUGAGAGGAUGAUCAGCCACACUGGAACUGAGACACGGUCCAGACUCCUACGGGAGGCAGCAGUGGGGAAUUUUGGACAAUGGGCGCAAGCCUGAUCCAGCCAUUCCGCGUGAGUGAAGAAGGCCUUCGGGUUGUAAAGCUCUUUCGCAAGGGAAGAAACGAUACGAGCGAAUAACUCGUGUUAAUGACGGUACCUUGAUAAGAAGCACCGGCUAACUACGUGCCAGCAGCCGCGGUAAUACGUAGGGUGCGAGCGUUAAUCGGAAUUACUGGGCGUAAAGCGUGCGCAGGCGGUUUUGUAAGUCAGAUGUGAAAUCCCCGGGCUCAACCUGGGAACU